AUGAGUUAAGUAUAAACCCCUUUACAAGUAUCAAUUGGAGGGCAAGUCUGGUGCCAGCAGCCGCGGUAAUUCCAGCUCCAAUAGCGUAUAUUAAAGUUGUUGCAGUUAAAAAGCUCGUAGUUGGAUUUCUGUUAAUAAUUUUAUAGUAUAUUUAACAUAUAUUGUAUAAUAUUAACAUAAUUCAUAUUACUAUUUUUAGUAUAUGAAAUUUUACUUUGAGAAAAUUAGAGUGCUUAAAGCAGGCAUAUGCCUUGAAUACUCCAGCAUGGAAUAAUAUAAAAGAUUUUUAUCUUUUUUAUAUUGGUUCUAAGAUAAAAAUAAUGAUUAAUAGGAACAGUUGGGGGCAUUUGUAUUUAACAGUCAGAGGUGAAAUUCUUAGAUUUGUUAAAGACAAACUAGUGCGAAAGCAUUUGCCAAGGAUGUUUUCAUUAAUCAAGAACGAAAGUUAGGGGAUCGAAGACGAUCAGAUACCGUCGUAGU
Molecule: ribosomal RNA, 480 nt
Filed under: Cryptosporidium sp. vole genotype IX
Lineage: Eukaryota; Apicomplexa; Conoidasida; Eucoccidiorida; Cryptosporidiidae
Description: SSU rRNA
Rfam family: Eukaryotic small subunit ribosomal RNA
Source: RNAcentral